This 24-nucleotide non-coding RNA is filed under the name Arabidopsis thaliana (thale cress). Lineage: Eukaryota; Viridiplantae; Streptophyta; Magnoliopsida; Brassicales; Brassicaceae. The record is from RNAcentral.
GAAGCCGCGUGCUCCUCCGCCUGA